Molecule: ribosomal RNA, 292 nt
Filed under: uncultured bacterium
Lineage: Bacteria
Description: partial 16S ribosomal RNA
Rfam family: Bacterial small subunit ribosomal RNA
Source: RNAcentral
GUGCCAGCAGCCGCGGUAAGACGAACCGUGCGAACGUUGUUCGGAAUCACUGGGCUUAAAGGGCGCGUAGGCGGGCCGCCAAGUCCGCGGUGAAAUCCCCCGGCUCAACCGGGGAACUGCCGCGGAUACUGGAGGUCUCGAGGGGGGUAGGGGCAUGCGGAACUGCGGGUGGAGCGGUGAAAUGCGUUGAUAUCCGCAGGAACUCCGGUGGCGAAGGCGGCGUGCUGGACCCCUUCUGACGCUGAGGCGCGAAAGCCAGGGGAGCGAACGGGAUUAGAUACCCCGGUAGUCC